RNAcentral lists this transfer RNA (72 nucleotides) under Zingiber officinale. It matches the Rfam family "tRNA". From Rfam's summary of the family: Transfer RNA (tRNA) molecules are approximately 80 nucleotides in length. Their secondary structure includes four short double-helical elements and three loops (D, anti-codon, and T loops). Further hydrogen bonds mediate the characteristic L-shaped molecular structure. tRNAs have two regions of fundamental functional importance: the anti-codon, which is responsible for specific mRNA codon recognition, and the 3' end, to which the tRNAs corresponding amino acid is attached (by aminoacyl-tRNA synthetases). tRNAs cope with the degeneracy of the genetic code in two manners: having more than one tRNA (with a specific anti-codon) for a particular amino acid; and 'wobble' base-pairing, i.e. permitting non-standard base-pairing at the 3rd anti-codon position. The record is from Rfam by way of RNAcentral. Lineage: Eukaryota; Viridiplantae; Streptophyta; Magnoliopsida; Zingiberales; Zingiberaceae.
GGGGGUGUAGCUCAUAUGGUAGAGCGCUCCUUUGCAUGCGAGAGGCACGGGGUUCGAUUCCCCGCACCUCCA